AUUGAACGCUGGCGGCAUGCCUUACACAUGCAAGUCGAACGGCAGCACGGGAGCAAUCCUGGUGGCGAGUGGCGAACGGGUGAGUAAAGUAUCGGAACGUGCCCAGUCGUGGGGGAUAACGUAGCGAAAGUUACGCUAAUACCGCAUACGAUCUAUGGAUGAAAGCGGGGGAUCGCAAGACCUCGCGCGAUUGGAGCGGCCGAUAUCAGAUUAGGUAGUUGGUGGGGUAAAGGCUCACCAAGCCGACGAUCUGUAGCUGGUCUGAGAGGACGAGCGGCAACACUGGGACUGGAAACAGGCCCGGACUCCUACGGUGGGCAGCAGUGGGGAAUUUUGGACAAUGGGCGAAAGCCUGAUCCAGCCAUGCCGCGUGCAGGACGAAGGCCUUCGGGUUGUAAACUGCUUUUGUACGGAACGAAAAGGUUUGGCCUAAUAAGCUGAGCUCAUGACGGUACCGUAAGAAUAAGCACCGGCUAACUACGUGCCAGCCGCCGCCGUAA
Molecule: ribosomal RNA, 500 nt
Filed under: uncultured bacterium
Lineage: Bacteria
Description: partial 16S ribosomal RNA
Rfam family: Bacterial small subunit ribosomal RNA
Source: RNAcentral